CUGGACCAGGAGCACGAGGCGCACCGCCCAGACGGCGCGUGGCCAGAUGGCUGGCCGAGGAGCGUAGCCGCGGUGACCGGGACGCCACCACCGAGGAGGCCGCGCUGGGCGGGCGGAGGCGCUGCAGGUUUGCAGUGAAAAGACGGAGAGCGUGAAGGCACUGAGGAAGACAGCGACGUCGCGGUGCCAGGAGAGAAGCUGGCGGGAGGCGCCCCUCUGUGGGGGAGGCGGUGGAGGAAGAACUUCGUGCAAAGGCCCUGAGGCAGGAGGAGAGCGAGGGCCCAGCGAGGGCCCAGCGCGGGCCCCGAGUGCGGGAGGGUGCAGAGCAGACCCGGAGGCGGGCUGAAGGUCAGAGUGGAGAGGGCUUUGUCGGCGGGGCCAGAGCUUGUUCUAAAGGCCCGGGGAGGACAGUGAACGGCCCUCGGCGUUGAGGAGACACGCACCGUGUAUCCAGCGUCGUGUUCACGCCUGUCUCGCGGGCUCACACGUGUGAUGGACGCGGUGACUGCGGCUCACAGCCUCGGCCACCUGAACCCAGCCACCUUUUGUUCUCUGAGCUGCUGGCUCGCGUUCAUCUGCCACAGUAGGCCCGGAGCUGAGUUUGGGAUCUGGAACUGGGGAACCCCCGACUGCUCCAUGAAAUAGCAAAAUGUGGUUGUGCGGGACAUGGCAUUCCCGGCCACCAGAGAAGGCUCUCUACCUGCACGUCUGGAACAUGUGGCUUCCUCGGCUGACUCAGCAGGACGAGUGAGCCUCAGAGCCUAGAGAACGGAGCCCCAGCUUUCCCUGCCUCGGCAACUGUCACCCCCAUUGACAUCCACUGGCCAUUCAGGCCCACUGCCCCUCCCACCCUCCCACCUGCAAGAGUGGGGAAGUGCCGUCUUCUGUGAGUAGAAGGAGAAAGGAAACAUCUAAACACUAGACCAUCAGGCACAAGUGGUGAAUGAACAGCUCACUGACCCCUUACUGUUUCCUGAGAAGGUCCACGUAAGAAAGAUGUACUGAUAAUGACCGAGAAAUUCCAGCCGCUGAAAGAUCACAUUGAGACAAAAUCACAAUCCAUUCUGUGCACAGGUGUCAUGAUGACAGCAUACACACGUCUAAUGCCACACAGUAACCAUGUUCCAUGGAUCUUCUGUCUUACGAAGGUGUUUCCUGGGUGCUAUGAUUGUGACCCAGCGACGCGGGCGUGUUUGUACCUUUGAAAGCAAGUUGUUGCUGCUCGUCACUUGCCUGACUUUCCCUUUUGCUGUGUGCUGACACACGCUUCCUCUGGGCUAAAGUUUGGAGACCACUGGGGAGGAGUGGAGCCCUGAUGAGAAGGGGGCUGGAGUGACGGAUACUCUCACGCAGGAGGCUCGGGUGGGCCCACGGUCUGGGAGCCACCCAGAGGAGUCACUGAGGGAGUGGGGCCCCGGUGCUGGGGAGCAUCUCCGAGUUUUCUGUGACUCUCCACCUCUGAACCUCAGGCUCUUCAUCUGUAGGAUGGGGGUGAUUCAUGCCCUGGUAACCACCCUGUACAGGCCUGGGAAACGAGAGUGGCUGGAUGCGGGGCCAUCUGUAGCGUUCAGGAUGUUUGGGCUCGCGCUGAGGCUUUUGCUGAGCGUACUGUGAGCUGGAUGGCUCCUGAGAGGUGGAGGAUAGGGGCAGAGCCAGCUCCGUUGAAGGAGAGUGGGGUUUGGAGUGAAGCAAGGAAGGCAGAAACCUGGUUGAAGAGGAAACUUGGGAAAGGCGGUUAUGAUUCCAACUGACAGAUGGAUAGAUGUUGUUCAGUAAUAGAUGGCAGGACCCUCUCUUUCUUUCCAUGUAAUUCAUUUUCACUAAAGUUUGCCUCAGUCA
Molecule: non-coding RNA, 1839 nt
Organism: Delphinapterus leucas (beluga whale)
Lineage: Eukaryota; Metazoa; Chordata; Mammalia; Artiodactyla; Monodontidae
Source: RefSeq, a predicted model, not a curated record